GACGAACGCUGGCGGCGCGCCUAACACAUGCAAGUCGAACGGAAAGGCCUGCUUUCCCUUGUGGAUUGCGGGUACUCGAGUGGCGAACGGGUGAGUAACACGUGAGUGAUCUGCCCCCAACUUGGGUAUAAGCCUGGGAAACUGGGUCUAAUUCCCGAUAGGACUGCAGGGUGGUGCCUGUGGUGGAAAACGAUUUUCUAGUGGUUGGGGAUGAGCUCGCGGCCUAUCAGCUUGUUGGUGGGGUAAUGGCCUACCAAGGCGGCGACGGGUAGCCGGCCUGAGAGGGUGGACGGCCACAUUGGGACUGAGAUACGGCCCAGACUCCUACGGGAGGCAGCAGUGGGGAAUAUUGCACAAUGGGCGGAAGCCUGAUGCAGCGACGCCGCGUGGGGGAUGACGGCCUUCGGGUUGUAAACUCCUUUCGACCGCGAGGGAGCCGCCUGGUUGGAAGGGUGGUGACGGUAGUGGUAGAAGAAGCACCGGCUAACUACGUG
RNAcentral lists this ribosomal RNA (494 nucleotides) under uncultured bacterium. Its description in RNAcentral is "partial 16S ribosomal RNA". It matches the Rfam family "Bacterial small subunit ribosomal RNA", at positions 28 to 507 of the family's 1533-position model. The record is from RNAcentral.